Molecule: ribosomal RNA, 572 nt
Filed under: uncultured bacterium
Lineage: Bacteria
Description: bacterial SSU rRNA
Rfam family: Bacterial small subunit ribosomal RNA
Source: RNAcentral
AGUGGCGAACGGGUGAGUAACACGUGGGUGAUCUGCCCCGCACUGUGGGAUAAGCCUGGGAAACUGGGUCUAAUACCACAUACGACCAUGGCGUAGGGGUCAUGGUGGAAAGCCUUGUGCGGUGUGGGAUGAGCCCGCGGCCUAUCAGCUUGUUGGUGGGGUAAUGGCCUACCAAGGCGGCGACGGGUAGCCGGCCUGAGAGGGUGGACGGCCACAUUGGGACUGAGACACGGCCCAGACUCCUACGGGAGGCAGCAGUGGGGAAUAUUGCACAAUGGGCGCAAGCCUGAUGCAGCGACGCCGCGUGGGGGAUGAAGGCCUUCGGGUUGUAAACUCCUUUCGCCCGGGACGAAGCCCACCUGGUGGGUGACGGUACCGUGGAGAAAAAGCACCGGCUAACUACGUGCCAGCAGCCGCGGUAAUACGUAGGGUGCAAGCGUUGUCCGGAUUUACUGGGCGUAAAGAGCUCGUAGGUGGUGUGUCGCGUCGUCUGUGAAAUUCCGGGGCUUAACUCCGGGCGUGCAGGCGAUACGGGCACGACUAGAGUGCUGUAGGGGUAACUGGAAUUCCUG